UACGAAGGGGGCUAGCGUUGCUCGGAAUCACUGGGCGUAAAGGGUGCGUAGGCGGGUCUUUAAGUCAGGGGUGAAAUCCUGGAGCUCAACUCCAGAACUGCCUUUGAUACUGAAGAUCUUGAGUUCGGGAGAGGUGAGUGGAACUGCGAGUGUCGAGGUGAAAUUCGUAGAUAUUCGCAAGAACACCAGUGGCGAAGGCGGCUCACUGGCCCGAUACUGACGCUGAGGCACGAAAGCGUGGGGAGCAAACAGG
This 253-nucleotide ribosomal RNA is filed under the name uncultured bacterium. Its description in RNAcentral is "partial 16S ribosomal RNA". It matches the Rfam family "Bacterial small subunit ribosomal RNA", at positions 524 to 776 of the family's 1533-position model. The record is from RNAcentral.